AUCAAACGGGCCUUUGUUCAACAACUUACAGGCUCGAAAACGAUACUUUUUUAACUGUUUUUUUUUACAAAUUCUAUCGUUAUAAAAUGAACUUCAUUACAUUACCCUCAUUACUGUCGUCCGCCAUCGUGUACCUACAUACCACAGAACAUAGAGAGAGUAUGAUACUUUCAACUACUCAACUCAAACACGAUAGAUACGUGUAAAAGUUUACUCACACCAAAGCAUGCAUAAUAUUAUCAGACGUGAAAAUAUACGAUUUCUUUUUCAAAUAAAAUUAUGUAAACUAGAGUGUUGACAAAGUUUUUCGCAAGGCAAGAGGACCAUGAAUGUCUUUAGACUAAUUCAACUUGUGUGGAGACUUGUUUGAGUAAGAUAUUCAAUCGUAAAUUUAACAAUAUUAUCGCCAUAGAAUGAAAUAUCAAUGUCAGUUUCAAAUAAAUGCUAAGGACCAGUGAAGAUAAUGAUGCAUCAUUCAUAUUCUAAUCAUGAAAAUAUAAAUGUACAAUGGAUCGAGACUGAACUCCACUGGAAAUCAUUUACGGCCAAAACUACAAACAAUAUUUUUGAUGAAUCAGAAGAAACAAUAAAUAUAAAAGAGUGAUCCAUAACAUUUUUGAUAAUAUAUUAUACAUCAAUGUGGAUAAAACCUAUCACCAAUGAUUAUCGUUAUGUAUUAUACCUUCCGCUCUGUCAACACUUAUUCAGUUUCAAAUAAGUUAAGUAAGUUAUGGGUGAUGAAUAUUUUAAUUACUUAUUUUUAUGCUAUUCACGGCCCAAUUUGUAUAUGUUCUUUUGGAGAUGCUAAGGACCAGUGAAGAUAAUGACGCAUCAUUCAUAUUCUAAUCACCAAAAUAUAAAUGUACAAUGGAUUGAGACUGAACUCCACUGGAAAUCAUUUACAGCCAAAACUACAAACAAUAUUUUUGACGAAACAGAAGAAACAAUAAAUAUAAAAUAGUGAACCAUAAAAUUUUUGAUAAUAUAUUAUACAUCAAUGUGGAUAAAACCAAUAUCAAUACAAUAUACAAUAUCAUCGCCUUAGAAUGAAAUAUCAAUGUCAAUAAAUUUUUUAAAUUAUUUUUUGAAAUAAAUUUACCAAAUGACACUAUUUGGUCAAUAUUAGAUGUUAAGUUCAAUUAAA
This is a long non-coding RNA of Myzus persicae (green peach aphid), 1144 nucleotides long. RefSeq lists it as uncharacterized. The record is from RefSeq and is a predicted model, not a curated record. NCBI's taxonomy places the organism in Eukaryota, Metazoa, Arthropoda, Insecta, Hemiptera, Aphididae. The transcript is spliced from 4 exons.